GGUUGGCUAGCUCAGUUGGUUAGAGCGUCGAGCUAACAACUUGAAGGUCAUGGGUUUGACCCCUCUGCUGACCA
RNAcentral lists this transfer RNA (74 nucleotides) under Rhizoctonia solani AG-8 WAC10335. RNAcentral describes it as "tRNA-Val (AAC) (tRNA-Val-AAC-4-1)". It matches the Rfam family "tRNA". Rfam says of the family: Transfer RNA (tRNA) molecules are approximately 80 nucleotides in length. The record is from RNAcentral. Lineage: Eukaryota; Fungi; Basidiomycota; Agaricomycetes; Cantharellales; Ceratobasidiaceae.